This 68-nucleotide transfer RNA is filed under the name Chaunax penicillatus (pencil coffinfish). RNAcentral's name for it is "tRNA-His". It matches the Rfam family "tRNA". From Rfam's summary of the family: Transfer RNA (tRNA) molecules are approximately 80 nucleotides in length. Lineage: Eukaryota; Metazoa; Chordata; Actinopteri; Lophiiformes; Chaunacidae. The record is from RNAcentral.
GUAGGUGUAGUUUAAUAAAACAUUAGAUUGUGAUUCUAAAAACAGGGGUUAAAACCCCCUCACCCACC